RNAcentral lists this ribosomal RNA (497 nucleotides) under uncultured bacterium. RNAcentral's name for it is "partial 16S ribosomal RNA". It matches the Rfam family "Bacterial small subunit ribosomal RNA", at positions 28 to 507 of the family's 1533-position model. The record is from RNAcentral.
GACGAACGCUGGCGGCGUGCCUAAUACAUGCGAGUUGAGCGCUGAAGGUUGGUACUUGUACCAACUGGAUGAGCAGCGAACGGGUGAGUAACGCGUGGGGAAUCUGCCUUUGAGCGGGGGACAACAUUUGGAAACGAAUGCUAAUACCGCAUAAAAACUUUAAACACAAGUUUUAAGUUUGAAAGAUGCAAUUGCAUCACUCAAAGAUGAUCCCGCGUUGUAUUAGCUAGUUGGUGAGGUAAAGGCUCACCAAGGCGAUGAUACAUAGCCGACCUGAGAGGGUGAUCGGCCACAUUGGGACUGAGACACGGCCCAAACUCCUACGGGAGGCAGCAGUAGGGAAUCUUCGGCAAUGGACGAAAGUCUGACCGAGCAACGCCGCGUGAGUGAAGAAGGUUUUCGGAUCGUAAAACUCUGUUGGUAGAGAAGAACGCUGGUGAGAGUGGAAAGCUCAUCAAGUGACGGUAACUACCCAGAAAGGGACGGCUAACUACGUG